RNAcentral lists this signal recognition particle RNA (103 nucleotides) under Veillonella sp. oral taxon 780 str. F0422. RNAcentral describes it as "Bacterial signal recognition particle RNA". It matches the Rfam family "Bacterial small signal recognition particle RNA". Rfam says of the family: The signal recognition particle (SRP) is a universally conserved ribonucleoprotein involved in the co-translational targeting of proteins to membranes. Lineage: Bacteria; Bacillati; Bacillota; Negativicutes; Veillonellales; Veillonellaceae. RNAcentral also lists the same sequence under 1 other name. The record is from RNAcentral.
UCUAUGGGGCUUGUGCAAGGAGAGCCUGUGAACCAUGUCAGGCCUUGAUUGGAGCAGCAUUAAGCGGUCACUCUCUUGUGCCACGAGGAAACCUAUAGGGCUG